GACCGGGCAGGUGGGGACCGGGCUCAGUGUCAUGCCACACAUGGGGCCUGGACUAGGUGUGGGUCCAGGAGAGGAGAGCGUUGCGGCCCAAGAAUCAGGGAGGAAUAAAAUGAGAGUAAAGUUCCUGCUGUGUAAGGAGGAGCUUGGAAGUAUUUACACGGCAUUGGAUACAGGAAGACGGGAAUCCACAGGGAAUGCAGAAGUCGCACUCGUGACAGGAAGAAGGAGACUCGGAGCGGAGUGCUCUGUCCAGGGCAGCAGAGAGUUAUUCCUUGGGGACUGAUGAGCUCAUCGCUCUGCAGCAUGCUGCUGUGCAGAGGGCCCCGCAGCUAGAGUUGUAUGCUGCUUCUCCAGGGUUAAAUGGCACCACAAGAGGCAGG
Molecule: long non-coding RNA, 380 nt
Organism: Acinonyx jubatus (cheetah)
Lineage: Eukaryota; Metazoa; Chordata; Mammalia; Carnivora; Felidae
Exons: 3
Source: RefSeq, a predicted model, not a curated record